RNAcentral lists this ribosomal RNA (497 nucleotides) under uncultured bacterium. RNAcentral describes it as "partial 16S ribosomal RNA". It matches the Rfam family "Bacterial small subunit ribosomal RNA", at positions 28 to 507 of the family's 1533-position model. The record is from RNAcentral.
GAUGAACGCUGGCGGCGUGCCUAAUACAUGCAAGUCGAGCGAACGGACGAGAAGCUUGCUUUUCUGAUGUUUGCGGCGGACGGGUGAGUAACACGUGGAUAACCUACCUAUAAGACUGGGAUAACUUCGGGAAACCGGAGCUACUACCGGAUAAUAUUUUGAACCGCAUGGUUCAAAAGUGAAAGACGGUCUUGCUGUCACUUAUAGAUGGAUCCGCGCUGCAUUAGCUAGUUGGUAAGGUAACGGCUUACCAAGGCAACGAUGCAUAGCCGACCUGAGAGGGUGAUCAGCCACACUGGAACUGAGACACGGUCCAGACUCCUACGGGAGGCAGCAGUAGGGAAUCUUCCGCAAUGGGCGAAAGCCUGACGGAGCAACGCCGCGUGAGUGAUGAAGGUCUUCGGAUCGUAAAACUCUGUUAUUAGGGAAGAACAUAUGUGUAAGUAACUGUGCACAUCUUGACGGUACCUAAUCAGAAAGCCACGGCUAACUUCGUG